This is a long non-coding RNA of Chelonia mydas (Green sea turtle), 3706 nucleotides long. RefSeq lists it as uncharacterized. The record is from RefSeq and is a predicted model, not a curated record. NCBI's taxonomy places the organism in Eukaryota, Metazoa, Chordata, Testudines, Cheloniidae. The transcript is spliced from 2 exons.
CCCUUCUGUUCCCCCCUCCCCCACAGCCUCAGCGCGCUGCGCCACCAGCACUCUGGCCGAACUGCUGCCGGCGUGGCUGCGAGUUCCUGCUGCUCUGAGCAGCUGUGCAUCCACCACAGAUAACUAUGAACCAUGAUACGACUUCUGAAAACAUCACCUCCAGAUGUUGGACAGUAACAGAAACUGCAAGGGUUCUACAGCACCAGAAGAAUGUAGCAUGGGGUUGGCAACAAUGCCAUUGGCAGCCUAUGGUGGAGGAAAAAUUGGUGCACACGGGUGAGGGAUGAAGAUUUUGAUGAAGAAUAAGAAUAGAGCUUAAGGUACAAUCUACAAAACCAGAACUUUAGCAAGCUUCUCAAUUCCCAGUGCAUUCAGAGCAUAAUGACCAGAGAACCAUUUAAAGGGUCAGUGGUAACAGGCAAUUUCUGAGGCCUUCUUGGAUAGAAGAGGUAGGCAGCAGAAUAUGUAUCUGCAUGAACGUAUUUAGAAAUAUUUAUCUUGCCAAACACAGGGGAUAUCUGUGCUAUUCAGAAAAUGUAUUCUUCAGUUUGUCCAUCCCGAGUACAGCAGCAGUCUUAAGUUUCAUGGGCCAGAUUCUGCUCUCAGUAACACUGCUGUAUUCUGUUGAUCUUAAUAAUAUUGCUCUUGAUUUAUUCAGAGGUAAAUGAGGAGAGAAAUCAGCCCCUUUGUUUUUAUAAAGGACUGAAAAAGCCCUUUUAUGAAGGUAACAGUACGAAGUCUAAUGAUGUUCACAGAUUGUUACAUUGCAGUCAAUUACCCUUCUGCUGCUGGAGAACUAACUUUUUAAAAAUGUGUUUCAAAAAGGAUUCACCCCUUCUCCUCCCCACUGUGGAAGUGAGAAAAAGUUUGUUUUUUAUGCUCAUUCAUCUUCAUUUCAGUUAAGAAUGCUCUAGGACUGCCAAAUUUAUUAAAUUUUGUGGGAUUUUGGUAACGAGAGAAUGAGAAAAGAAUUAGAAAUCAAUCCAAGGCCACCAGAAUGCAUUAACAAGAUCCAGAAAGAAUGGGGUUUUGGUUAGACUUGUUUUGUAGGGUUUAUUUGGAAGAGAACCUCUUAGGUUAAAGUAGAGAAACUUAACUCAAAUUCCUUCUUGCUAGUUAGAAAGAUAAUUUCAUAUACAGACUUUAGCACUACCAACAGGAGAGAGACUGGAAAGCUUCAGAAAACAUAUGAAUUAAGGAUAGUCAAUUGUAAAACCAAAAUUUCUCAGCUCUUGCUGGUUUGUGAUAAAACCUUAACACUAUUUAAACUUAGAGGAAUUGUAUUUAAUUUCCCUCCUUUCCCCUCUUCCUUCCCCCCUGCCCCAUCUUUUUUUAUAUAUAAAAAAGACAAUGGAAAGUUAUAAGAUAUGAAUACUCUUUCCUGGAGAAAGUAGCCAUUUGUGUCCAGGGAAGGGUCAAAUAGUUUGGAUAAAAUAAGAACCAACCCAAACCACCACACAUUCUUAAACUGAAACUUCAGAAUAUUUAACAAACUCUUAUUCUUUCAUUUUCUUGUGCUUUUGCGUUUCCUAAUUUAGCUGUGCCCAAGAGUGGGAGCACUAAAACACACCAAGAAAUAUUCCAUUAGUGGUGAGAUGGAUGGACAGAUCUGGAUCAUGACACCUCCAUCUCAUGUGCUAACUAUUCAUUUCCUGCCCUUGAGGAUUCAUUGUCAUGUUGUCCAAUCUUGGGGGCUUCAUCCACAAUGCAAGUUUUAAAUGCUGAGACAUUUUUCCAUUAUGUCUAUAUACCACAAGCUGAAAUUUGUUUAGUUAUAAAAGGUUUUUAUGAUAUUCUGAAUAUUUUUUCAUGAACAUCAAUAAUUUCAAAAAAGUUCUCAAUUGUUUCAUAUUAUCUCACUCUCUUUUUAACUCUGUAUAUUAAACAUUAAUUUUUAUUCUUUAUUUUAAAUUAACUAAAUGCCUCUAGCACUUAUUCUGGCCAUUUUAUAUUUCUUUAGGCCGCACACAGUAGUCACACCGAGAAAGGGAUGACUGGAAAUAACAGGAAACAGAAGGAAAAACAGAUCCAGGGUAGGGCUCGAGAAAACCCUCUUUUAUCAAACCAGUAAUCCAAAGAUUCAGGUCAAGGGCCGGACCCCAUGCCAGGUACAGACCAUUGUCAGUUCCAGAAAGACAAUAAACCCCAUCCGACUUGAGUUCUUCCCCAGGUUUUCCUUAUGGAGGUCUGAAGAAUUUCUCCCAUUCACCAGACUUUCAGUUUGUGAACACAGCUCGGGGCAGGAGACACACCGUACGAUGAGUCCCCAGGAUAUGCUUCAUCUUGGGGAAAUCUGGCCAGUCUUUCCACUUGCUAAGUGGAUGAGCAGCCUGUGGCCUGAGCAUCACCUAGGGAAGCCCCACUGCUCCUCCUCUCUUCUGAGCAGGUUAUAGCUCUCAGGCCUGCAGAAUCCAAUUUUCUCCAGGAUUAACCCCCCUCCCAAAAAAGAGCCUUUCCUUUAUCAAGGCCCACAACUUUCUAAAGGCCGCUUCCUCCCCUUUAUCAGUAUUUCCCCUCCUGAUUAUUCCAUCCAGGUGAAGGAGUCUCCUUCUAUGCAUGACAUUUCUAACAGGAGCCAAAUGCAUCCCAUCUUUCUAAGCUUGGUCAUUAACCCCUUUGAGUCCUAGCCCUGUGUGGGUUUUGGAGACCCCAUUACAAACCUUAGUUUCUUAAUUAAACAAUAUAAGAAACACUGGUCUAGAUUCAGAAUGGCUUUUAGGCACUUAGAAAAUUACUGGGAUUCGCAAAGCCUGAGUUCACUGCCUAGGUGCCGAAUAUUAUGAAUGGGGAGAGAGAGGUGCCUCAGAAUGGGAUUCACAAAAGCCAGGACACUAGGUGGCACCUCACCUAAACUAGCCAAUGUGAGUUAUGUUCGUGGUCCUAUCCUUCUCUUGGAGAUGGGUACCUAAGUCCAGGCAAGCACCUCUCUCCUCUUGGAAUUUUCAACUGCAAACCCUCUCUUGGUGUUAGGAGCCUAUGCCAUUUUUAGCAAGAAGCUAAUCCUUCUCUCUCGCCUGAUGAUUCUUUCAUUAUUUAUCCACAGCAGAACAGCUUCAACAUUGGGCCAGAAAGAAAGACAGCAAGCACAAGAAUAAAUUCAUAACUUGGUAGUCAGAGCUCUCACCCGGGAGGUGGAAGACCCAGAAUCUAGUCCCCUGGCUCCAUGGGCGGUGGGUGAAUCUUGGGGAGGCUAGCCUCCUGCCUCGCCUCUUCUGGCCGAGGCCACACCCACGGUCUCUGGUCUCAGCUAGCCUGUGGCCCAGGAUCAGAGCUUGGUCAGGACAACGGAGGGGGGAAGAGAGCUUGGCCCCAGCCAGGGUUGAGAUCUCAGCCCCCACUGGGACCGUGGCAGAGCUCUCGACCUUGGCAGAAGCUCCAAGUCCAGAGCCCCUCACCCAUUCCUCUCCUUCCCCCACAGCCCCACUCCCUUCCCCCCACUCGCUCCUUUCUCCUCCUCGGCUGCAGCCCCAAGACCGGAAAAGCUCUGUGCCCCUGCUCCAGCUGUGGUGGGGAGCAAGAGCUCCUCCAGCCCCAGGGCUGUGGUGGGGGGAGAUUUUUCAAGGGACCCCGAAUUGGCCUGGCCCCUGCCCAAGAUACUGUGGAGCAGGUGUUUUACUUAUUGUUUGAAUACUUGAGUCAUUGUUGCGAUGUUCUCCAAACUUAAUGUUGUGUCCCAUCUCCUCUUAAUAAAAGUUUUAUUUCAUUA